UACGUAGGGUGCGAGCGUUGUCCGGAAUUAUUGGGCGUAAAGAGCUCGUAGGCGGUUUGUCACGUCUGCUGUGAAAUCCCGAGGCUUAACCCCAGUCCUGCUUCCGAUACGGGUGGACUAGAGGUAGGUAGGGGAGAUCGGAAUUCCUGGUGUAGCGGUGAAAUGCGCAGAUAUCAGGAGGAACACCGGUGGCGAAGGCGGAUCUCUGGGCCUUACCUGACGCUGAGGAGCGAAAGCAUGGGGAGCAAACAGG
This 253-nucleotide ribosomal RNA is filed under the name uncultured bacterium. Its description in RNAcentral is "partial 16S ribosomal RNA". It matches the Rfam family "Bacterial small subunit ribosomal RNA", at positions 524 to 776 of the family's 1533-position model. The record is from RNAcentral.